CCUACGGGGGGCUGCAGUAAGGAAUAUUGGUCAAUGGAGGAAACUCUGAACCAGCCAUCCCGCGUGAAGGAUGAAGGGGCUCUGCCUUGUAAACUUCUUUUGUCUGGGGCGAAAAAGCUCGAUUUAUCGAGAACUGACGGUACCAGAAGAAUAAGCACCGGCUAACUCCGUGCCAGCAGCCGCGGUAAUACGGCGGGUGCCGGCGUUAUCGGGAUUAACGGGGUUUAAAGGGGCUGUGUAAGGCUUUGGUGAAAGGCUGUGGCUUAACCAUGGAAUUGCCAUUGAUACUGCAGAGCUUGAAUGAGGUUGAGGUUGGCGGAAUGUGACAUGUAGCGGUGAAAUGCUUAGAUAUGUCAUGGAACACCGAUUGCGAAGGCAGCUGACUGGACCUAUAUUGACGCUGAGGCACGAAAGCGUGGGGAGCGAACAGGAUUAGAUACCCCAGUAGUC
This 450-nucleotide ribosomal RNA is filed under the name uncultured bacterium. RNAcentral describes it as "partial 16S ribosomal RNA". It matches the Rfam family "Bacterial small subunit ribosomal RNA", at positions 338 to 795 of the family's 1533-position model. The record is from RNAcentral.